This 61-nucleotide non-coding RNA is filed under the name Vibrio alginolyticus. Lineage: Bacteria; Pseudomonadati; Pseudomonadota; Gammaproteobacteria; Vibrionales; Vibrionaceae. RNAcentral also lists the same sequence under 8 other names. The record is from RNAcentral.
AGUCGAAACACGUAAGUGUCUCUCGUGGGUGGCCUCCUGAGACUGAUGAUGACAGGCUUGG